This is a long non-coding RNA of Vidua macroura (Pin-tailed whydah), 645 nucleotides long. RefSeq lists it as uncharacterized. The transcript has 3 exons. The record is from RefSeq and is a predicted model, not a curated record. NCBI's taxonomy places the organism in Eukaryota, Metazoa, Chordata, Aves, Passeriformes, Viduidae.
CCCGCCGCGUCCCUGUCUCGUCCCGCCGCGUUCCCACUGUCUCCACUCUCACACAAACCGCCCCCCUCCCGGCCCCCCUCCGCUGCAGGGAAAUGCAGGAGAACGCGAAAGCAUCGGGGCAGAGCAGCCGCUGGAGGUGCCCGAGCCGUCUCCCCCUUGCCCGCAGGGCCGGAGUUGCCCACCGCCGGGAGCUGACAGGUCCGUGCAGGAGAGUGGGAGAAGGGUCCCUGCUGGCUGCCAUGUCCUGGGUGGGCACAGAGCUCUGACCUUGGCCAGAUGGGCUGGUUUCCGGGUGUUUUGAUCCUGACGUCGCCAAAGCCUCAGAUUUGCUGAACUGGGGCUCUUACCUGUGUGACCCGUGAAAUGUCCCGGAAGCUGAUCGAUGUCUUUGUGCUCCCGCUGUGUUCAUUUGGGCUGUGCUUCAGGCUUCUCUCCCGGGGCCCUUGCCGUUGCUGUAUCUCUUGGAUGCCGUGCAGAACGGAAUCAGGCAGCCAAGCCUCAGGUUCACCUUCUCCCUCACCCUCUGCGCUGCUCGUGUGGCACAGCAGAUCCUGAAGCCAGGUACUGGAACGUGCUGCGUGUGUCACUGCUGGGGUGAAAAACAGAGCCCUGGGGAGUGUUGAUCCCCUCACCUGCUCUCUGCUC